UUUUGUUUCAGAACAUAAUAAACGUACCAGCUACUAAUAAAUAAUUUAAAAAAAUGGCGCACACUGAAAACGAUUAUGAUAAAAUGGUGCGAGACGUUCAGCUGCUGCUGCAGCAGCAGCAGCAAGAGCAGCACCGAUUGCAGAUGCAGCAGCUGUAGGAACAGCAGCGUCAACAAUUGCAGCAACUGAGGGAAGAGCUCCUCCCUCAGGUGCAAGACAUGGAAACAGGGGAUAAUGAUUCGAAACCACCUCGAAAAAGAGGAGUAGCGGCAGGGAGAUCCCGGCGUUUGCGGAGGUACAGGGGGG
Long non-coding RNA from Osmia bicornis bicornis, 306 nucleotides. RefSeq lists it as uncharacterized. The record is from RefSeq and is a predicted model, not a curated record. The transcript has 3 exons. Lineage: Eukaryota; Metazoa; Arthropoda; Insecta; Hymenoptera; Megachilidae.